GGAUGCGAUCAUACCGGCACUAAAGCACCGGAUCCCAUCAGAACUCUGAAGUUAAGCGUGCUUGGGCGAGAGUAGUACUAGGAUGGGUGACCUCCUCGGAAGUCCUCGUGUUGCAUUCCU
This 120-nucleotide ribosomal RNA is filed under the name Triticum turgidum subsp. durum (durum wheat). The record is from RNAcentral. Lineage: Eukaryota; Viridiplantae; Streptophyta; Magnoliopsida; Poales; Poaceae.